Molecule: ribosomal RNA, 253 nt
Filed under: uncultured bacterium
Lineage: Bacteria
Description: partial 16S ribosomal RNA
Rfam family: Bacterial small subunit ribosomal RNA
Source: RNAcentral
UACAGAGGUCUCAAGCGUUGUUCGGAUUCACUGGGCGUAAAGGGUGCGUAGGCGGCUUGGUAAGUUGGGUGUGAAAGCCCCGGGCUCAGCCCGGGAAGGGCACUCGAAACUGCCGAGCUGGAGUGCCGGAGGGGAGAGUGGAAUUCCUGGUGUAGCGGUGAAAUGCGUAGAUAUCAGGAGGAAUACCGGUGGCGAAAGCGACUCUCUGGACGGCAACUGACGCUGAGGCACGAAAGCGUGGGGAGCAAACAGG